Molecule: ribosomal RNA, 559 nt
Filed under: Diplodia mutila
Lineage: Eukaryota; Fungi; Ascomycota; Dothideomycetes; Botryosphaeriales; Botryosphaeriaceae
Description: eukaryotic LSU rRNA
Rfam family: Eukaryotic large subunit ribosomal RNA
Source: RNAcentral
GUGAAGCGGCAACAGCUCAAAUUUGAAAGCUGGCCCUUUUAGGGUCCGCGUUGUAAUUUGUAGAGGAUGAUUCGGCGAGGGCUCCCGCCUAAGUCCCCUGGAACGGGGCGUCAUAGAGGGUGAGAAUCCCGUAUGUGGUGGGCUGCCUUAGCCAUGUGAAUCUCCUUCGACGAGUCGAGUUGUUUGGGAAUGCAGCUCUAAAUGGGAGGUAAAUUUCUUCUAAAGCUAAAUACCGGCCAGAGACCGAUAGCGCACAAGUAGAGUGAUCGAAAGAUGAAAAGCACUUUGGAAAGAGAGUUAAAAAGUACGUGAAAUUGUUGAAAGGGAAGCGCUUGCAACCAGACUUGUCCGCAGUUGCUCAGCCGGUCUCCUGACCGGCGUACUCUUCUGCGGCCAGGCCAGCAUCAGUUCGGGCGGUCGGAUAAAGACCUCGGGAAUGUAGCUCCUCUCGGGGAGUGUUAUAGCCCGGGGUGGAAUGCGGCCAGCCUGGACUGAGGAUCUCGCUUCGGCAAGGAUGCUGGCGUAAUGGUUGUAAGCGGCCCGUCUUGAAACACGGACC